AGUGAACGCUGGCGGUAGGCCUAACACAUGCAAGUCGAACGGCAGCACAGUAAGAGCUUGCUCUUACGGGUGGCGAGUGGCGGACGGGUGAGGAAUACAUCGGAAUCUACUUUUUCGUGGGGGAUAACGUAGGGAAACUUACGCUAAUACCGCAUACGACCUACGGGUGAAAGCAGGGGAUCUUCGGACCUUGCGCGAUUGAAUGAGCCGAUGUCGGAUUAGCUAGUUGGCGGGGUAAAGGCCCACCAAGGCGACGAUCCGUAGCUGGUCUGAGAGGAUGAUCAGCCACACUGGAACUGAGACACGGUCCAGACUCCUACGGGAGGCAGCAGUGGGGAAUAUUGGACAAUGGGCGCAAGCCUGAGCCAGCCAUACCGCGUGGGUGAAGAAGGCCUUCGGGUUGUAAAGCCCUUUUGUUGGGAAAGAAAAGCAGCAGGUUAAUACCCCGCUGUUCUGACGGGACCCAAAGAAUAAACACCGGCUAACUUCGG
Molecule: ribosomal RNA, 491 nt
Filed under: uncultured bacterium
Lineage: Bacteria
Description: partial 16S ribosomal RNA
Rfam family: Bacterial small subunit ribosomal RNA
Source: RNAcentral